AACACGUCUGCUAGGGGAAGGUUUCCACACCCUUAUAAAUAGUGGUUUGUUCUCCUCCCCGACCAACAUGGAAAAUCACAAAGACAAUCAAAAGCCAUGGUACAAACUAACAGAUCCAUCAACCUAACAUGAUAUGAAAGAAAAACAAUGGAAUGAGGGGUUGGAGCAUAGAUAUUUAGUAAGAAAUUUAG
Molecule: long non-coding RNA, 191 nt
Organism: Cucurbita moschata (crookneck pumpkin)
Lineage: Eukaryota; Viridiplantae; Streptophyta; Magnoliopsida; Cucurbitales; Cucurbitaceae
Exons: 3
Source: RefSeq, a predicted model, not a curated record